Molecule: non-coding RNA, 2567 nt
Organism: Salmo salar (Atlantic salmon)
Lineage: Eukaryota; Metazoa; Chordata; Actinopteri; Salmoniformes; Salmonidae
Source: RefSeq, a predicted model, not a curated record
CGCUGUUGCACUGUUGUAGCAGGAGAAACAGCAAGUUCUGGCCAAGCGCUCACCAUUCUGCAGAAUAAGGAUCAGAACUUUACUGAGCAGUUCAUCGUGGCCCUGUCGUUCGCCUACUUCACCAAAGCUCUGUCAGGGACCUACAUGAAGAGUGCCAUCACUCAGAGAGACACUUUGACCUGUCCGGCUCUCUCAUCGGACUCAUAGACGGCAGCUUUGAGAUGGGUAUCAACAAUAACAAUGAGUUGCUUGAGAAUUCAUGUAGUAAAAACUAGAUACACAAUACAGUAUGAUCCGUUUUUUUUGUGGUUCAGAGUCUGCUCUCAAUACUGUCCAGUUUUAUAGUUGUUCCUAUUAAUUGAUUGACUGGCGUUUGUCCAUGACUCUACUGUCAAACCCCUAACAUUGUUUUAUGUGCUGCUAUGUUGUUGCAGCCUAGUAUCCAAACUGAUAUGCCAUUUUUUGUUUAAAAAAAAAAAAAAUGCGCAUGGGUGCAGUUUCUUGUCCUCCUCGUUCCGCUGUGAAAGUACCGCACCAGCUCCGGUUUCCGAGGCGUCCACCUCUACCACAAAGGGACGAGUAGGAUCAGGAUGAACGAGGAAUGGGUUCGGAGGUGAAACGUCCCUUGAGCUCUAUGAAUGCCCUGUCAGCCUCGGGAUUCCAGCAAAAAACAGCUUGAGUGAGGUGGGACAGGGCCUUAUGUGUUCCGGAAGGGUUUUUGGAGAAGAUCAGGAUAUCGUCGAGGUAAACAAAGACGAACCGAUUCAACAUAUCCCUAAGAGUGUCAUUGAUCAAUGCUUGAAAGACUGCCGAUUUUAAGCGUUGCGGAGGUCCAGUUUGGUGAAGAAUUGGGCUCCUAGGGCCAACUCCAAGGCGGCGGACAUCGGGUUUGUUGAACAUGAGUGGAAAUGAAACUCCAGCACACUGGUAGCACUAAAGACGUUUGAGUAUAACUUCUCCAGGUGAGUUGAAGCUGCCUGUGCGUGCGGCGGGGAUAUUCCUGGGAGGUCUACUGACGAAGAGGUAUAAGCUUGGCGUUAUGUCUGGAGCCCAGCUGUCUUUCGUCACCUCCUUCAUGGCCUACCUCCUCCUCCCUCUGCAGUCUGGCACUAAGUGUGACAACGUUAAGGUGGCUUGUCUGACCGUGUCCCACAACGGGUCCCCUGGUGUACGAUGGCAGCCUGUUGUCAGAGUGUAACAGAGACUGCUCCUGCUUGGCUGGGGAGUGGGACCCUGUGUGUUCAGACAACGGCAUCACCUACACCUCCCCCUGCCUCGCAGGCUGCUCCAGCUUUACAGGUUACGGCAAGAACACGAUACCAAUUCUAUUAAUGUACUGAGUGUACAAAACAUUCACACGGAUGCUGGGCCAUGUUGACUCCAAUGCUUCCCACAGUUGUGUCAAGUUGGCUGUAUGUCUUUUGAGUGGUGGACCAUUCUUGAUACACACGGGAAACUGUUCAGCAUAAAAAAACACAGCAGCGUUGCAGUUCUUGACACAAACUGGUACCCCUGGCACCUAUUACCAUGCCCCGUUGAAAGGCACGUAAAUAUUUUGUCUUGACUCCCUGUUUAAAUAAAAUGUUUUUUUAAAUUUUUUUUUUACAUUUUAGUCAUUUAGCAGACGCUCUUAUCCAGAGCGACUUACAGUAGUGAAUGCAUACAUUUCAUACUUUUUUUUCCUGUGCUGGCCCCCUUGGGAAUCGAACCCACAACCCUGGCGUUGCAAACACCAUGCUCUACCAACUGUAAAAAACAUCAACAAACACAGGAUAUGGGGUACACAUGGUAUCACAUCAUUACAUACUAGGCCCUACUGCACCUGCAUUCCAGCAUCUGGAAUUGACUCAACAUGUUUGGGGUGGGGGAUCAAUACAUGUGGGGGAAGAGGUGGCUGUCGAAUGUAUGAUUCUUGGGGGGGGUCCAUGUUGGUGUCCAUACACUGAGGUGUGUUUUAAUAUGAAUGAGCAUCAGUGUUGUGAUGUGUCCUAUCCCGUCCUUGCAGAGUGAUCUUCCUUGGACUCAUCACAUGUCUCAGUGGCUCCUCCUUAGGAGGGAGGGGGACAGCCCCCACACUCAUCACUAGAGAUCGAACUUCAGACUCCCUCCAAAACCACUGAACCCCUCAACACACCGAAAGAGAUUAAGGUGCACACCCGUAGAGGGAGCCGGAACAGGAUAACUCCCUCCAAACUCACAAAGACACAGAGGAGGAGGAACUAUCCAACACCCAGGGAGAGAGAACGAGUGACCUCAGUCGAACACAGUCAGAAAGAGGAGGUGGAAGAGGCGUUAGAUAGAGGAGGUUACCCCAGAGGCCAUUCCUCCUGUUAAUGUGACCAAGAAAGAGCAGAAGGCUUCUGAUCAGCCAAAUGGCAGGCAGAGGGAGAGGUCAUAGUGAUUCACACCCACAGAGAGAAAGACAACCCACACAACCUCUUAGUUGAGAUGAACCACACAGAGGUAGAGGCAGAGGGCCUUCAGGGCUAGCCAGUCAGCCUGCCUGCUCUGAUCCUCAAGUCAAUUGUAUUUAAAUUCAUGUUCAUUAAAGUUUUUUUAUUCAAGAA